This 90-nucleotide transfer RNA is filed under the name Oceanospirillaceae bacterium. Its description in RNAcentral is "tRNA-Ser". It matches the Rfam family "tRNA". From Rfam's summary of the family: Transfer RNA (tRNA) molecules are approximately 80 nucleotides in length. Their secondary structure includes four short double-helical elements and three loops (D, anti-codon, and T loops). The record is from RNAcentral. RNAcentral also lists the same sequence under 2 other names. Lineage: Bacteria; Pseudomonadati; Pseudomonadota; Gammaproteobacteria; Oceanospirillales; Oceanospirillaceae.
GGUGAGGUGUCCGAGCGGUUGAAGGAGCACGCCUGGAAAGCGUGUAUAGGUUAAUACCUAUCGAGGGUUCGAAUCCCUCCCUCACCGCCA